This 4737-nucleotide unclassified non-coding RNA is filed under the name Harpegnathos saltator (Jerdon's jumping ant). RNAcentral describes it as "eukaryotic translation initiation factor 5B, transcript variant X2". The record is from RNAcentral. Lineage: Eukaryota; Metazoa; Arthropoda; Insecta; Hymenoptera; Formicidae.
ACGAGACACGGCGACUUCUCGCGGCAGGAUUCCGCUACCUAGGUUAUCUCAGCGCGCUCGUGUAUUCCAUGUGUCGAGUGUUGGCUUCGUGCGUGUAGUUGUGUAUGUACCGUCCUGCUCCGGAGGAGUUCACCAUCGCGAUCGCAUUCGACGAGGAAACCCCUUCGCACGCCUCCUCGAUUCUGCAUGACUUGUUCGCAGCGCAGCUGGCAUACGUCGCUCUACACCCGGAAAGCAGCAAACCCGCCGACGUCAGCCGACCAGCACGCCGAGUUAGCGUGUUGGAGCGUGAGGGAGUACGUCAUCUCACGCAUGCGCUGUAGCGUCGCAACAUAUUGCACCUGACAGCACUGCCCGAAAUACAGCUGGUGGCCGCUCUCAUUCUUCUCUCUGACGAUACAGUAGCUGUAGAGAUAAAUAAUACUAACAUGGAUGUGGAAGUUAGCACUGUAAAAACAACGGCACAAAAGAAGAAGGAAAAGAAGGAGAGGGAGAAGCAGAAGAAAUUGGCGCAGAAAAAAGCGGAUGCUUCCAAAGAAAUCAACAAGAAAGGAGAGGAGGAUGAAAUGAAAACUGAUGAGAAGAAGAAUGAUAAACCUGUACCUGAAAAAAAACAAGAUAACAUGGAAACUGAUGCUGAUACCAUUGAACCCAAAGAUAGCAAGAAGAAAAAGAAAAAAGGUGCUAAAGAGGAAGUUAAAGAGAAAGGCAAAGGUCCUGGAAAGAAAACUAUUGCUGCUAUGCAGGAAGCUUUGAGGAAGUUGAAGGAAGAAGAAGAAAGAUUGAAGCGCGAGGAAGAAGAGAGGAUACGACAAGAGGAAUUGCGGGAACAGGCGCGACUCGAACAAUUACGGCUUGAGCAGGAACGCAAGGAGAGGAAGAAAUUGAAGGAAAAGCAGCGAAAAGAGAGAUUAAAGGCGGAGGGCAAAUUCUUAACAACGAAACAGAAGCAGGACAGAGCCAGGGCACAGGCGAUGAUCGAAGCGCUUAAAGCUCAGGGUCUUGACUUGCCGGAUGUGGGAGAGAAAAAACCUAGACCAGGAACACGAGUCAGACCGAACAAGUUGAAGCAGCAAGUUAGCGUGGAGAAGAAGGAAGACGAGAAACUUGAAAACAGCGAAGCACCUACGGAUCAAGUGCAAGUGGAAAUUAUAGACCAAUCAACGGAGGUGAAGGAUGUGAAGGAGAAAAAGGAAGAGGAAGAUGUUAAGGAUUCGUGGGAUGCCGACAGCACGGAAGACGAGCAAGAAGAAGAUAAAUCGGACGACGCCCCAAAGACCCCCGAGAAAGCGAAGGAACAAUCCGUCGAGAAAGCCUCCGCCAAAACCGAGCCGGAGAAGAAAGAGUCUUCCGAGAGUGAAACUGAGAGCGAGAGCGGCAGUGAAUCCGAGUCAGAGGGCGACGAGAGCUACGAAGAGAGCGAAGUAGAGGAUAAACUACCAGAUGCAGCGCGCAAGAAGGAACGUGCGCGAGAACGAAUCCAAAGUCGCCGUAUUGAAGCCGAAAAGAAAAAGUCAUUGGAUAACUUGAGAGCUGCCGUGGUUUGUGUGUUGGGUCAUGUAGAUACUGGCAAGACCAAGAUCCUGGACAAGCUGAGGAGAACAAACGUGCAGGACGGCGAAGCGGGUGGUAUAACUCAACAAAUCGGUGCUACUAAUGUGCCAAUUGAAGCUAUCCAAGAGUCAACGAAGCAUGUGAAAGGCUUUGCCGACAAGAAAUUUAAAAUCCCCGGUCUCUUGAUCAUAGACACACCUGGUCAUGAGUCUUUCAGCAAUCUCAGAAGCAGAGGGUCUUCUCUUUGUGAUAUAGCGAUCUUAGUUGUAGAUAUUAUGCACGGGCUAGAGCCGCAAACGCUAGAGAGUAUCAAUUUGUUGAAAGCCAAGAAAUGUCCUUUCGUUGUUGCUCUUAAUAAAAUUGACAGGUUAUACGAUUGGCAGACCAUGAAUCGUAAGGAUGUUCAGGACAUCGUGAAGAAUCAAGCACCUAAUACUCAGCGGGAAUUCGAGAAUCGGUCAAAGGACAUAAUUGUACAGUUCGCCGAGCAGAGUUUGAAUGCAGCUUUGUUUUAUGAGAAUCCAGAUCCUAGGAGUUACGUGUCAUUAGUCCCAACCAGUGCCAUAACAGGCGAAGGUAUGGGCAAUCUAUUGGCCUUAAUAGUCGACGCUUGUCAGGGCCCGCUGGCCAGGAGACUCAUGUACAGCAAGGAGCUUCAAGCUACCGUAUUGGAAGUGAAAGCAUUGCCGGGACUGGGUACCACGAUAGACUGUAUUCUAGUCAAUGGAAUGCUAAGGGAGGGCGAUACGGUCAUUAUCGCUGGAACGGACGGGCCUAUUGUAACGCAAAUUCGCUCGCUUCUUAUGCCGCAGCCGUUAAAAGAAUUAAGAGUUAAGAACGCAUACAUCGAGUAUCGUGAAGUUACGGCUGCUCAGGGAGUGAAAAUCGCCGCGAAAGAUCUGGAGAAAGCCAUUGCCGGCUUAAAUCUGCAAGUCGCGCAAAAGCCAGACGAGGUGGAAGUGUUGAAGGAAGAGAUAGCCAAGGAGCUGUCGAGCGCUCUCGGAAACAUACGGCUAGCCGAACGAGGAGUUUACGUCCAGGCGUCUACGUUGGGAGCUCUCGAGGCGCUGUUGGAUUUCUUGAAGAGCAGCAAAAUACCAGAAUCGCGGCAACUUCAGGACGGACGCCGGCAAAGAUGGCGGAUGCGAAAUCGCGCCUGCAAAAACGACUCGACGCAGAUUCGGAGCGGAGAGGCAGCGUCCGUGCUACUCGACGUGCUACAAGUAUGCUGGAAUUCGCAUCGGGCCGGUCGUCAAGAAGGACGUCAUGAAGGCUUCCAUCAUGCUGGAGCACGACAGCCAGUACGCCACGAUUCUCGCGUUCGACGUGAAGAUCGAGAAGGACGCGCAGGAAUUGGCGGACUCGCUGGGCGUCAAGAUCUUCCAAGCGGACAUUAUUUACCACCUGUUCGACAAAUUCACCGCCUACAGGGAGGAACUGAAGCAGCGCAAGCGGGACGAACACAAGCACAUCGCCGUGUUCCCGUGCAAGCUGAAAAUCCUGCCGCAGUACGUGUUCAACUCGAGAGACCCGAUCGUAGUCGGCGUGAUGGUCGAGGCUGGCAUCGUCAAGGAAGGAACGCCGCUCUGCGUCCCGAGCAAGGACUUUGUCGACUUGGGCAUGGUGACUAGCAUAGAGUACAAUCAUAAACCCGUGGAAUCGGCCAGGAAAGGUCAGGAGGUCUGCAUAAAAAUCGAACCGAUCCCGGGCGAGGCGCCCAAGAUGUUCGGUCGCCACUUUGAAGCAAAGGACUUCCUCAUCAGCAAGAUCAGCAGACAGAGCAUCGACGCUUGCAAGGAUUACUUCAGGGACGACCUGCUGAAGACCGAUUGGCAGCUGAUGGUGGAACUCAAGAAGCUCUUCCAGAUACUCUAGGAUACGCUGAGGCUCACGAUGACGUCAUCCGGCGCCCUCCCGUCGCUUUGACGGCGAGAUGACCGGCGAAGCUGCGAUAUCCUUGCGAGGUACUCGAGACCAUUGAGCGAAGAUCGUCUCCUCGAGUCAUCCCGAUCGACACCGCGCGCCUCGGGACGUGGCAUGCUCGAAAACCUGCCCCAUCCAUUUCCUCGCCAACCGCGAGUCUGUGCACCUCGGCCGUCCUCCUUCCUUGUCUCGACUACUUCACAUCCUCCUUGGACCCCGAAGAGCAUGCUACGGAGACCGAGAGGAAGAAGAAGAAGAAGAAGAGGAAGAAGCACGCGAGAGAGAGAGAGAGAGAGAGAGAGAGCGGUCUCGGAACGCGUCCUUGAAAGCGUCACGCGCUUCGCCUGCCUACGUCUUGGCGGAACGUUCGGGCGGAAUCGGCGGGUCGCGCAAUUGCAUUCGGGAUAUUCACGGAAUACCACGUGGCCAGUACCCGCGAAUCUCACCAGCGAGGACGUCGCGGCGCAUCGACGAGGAGCUUCUUGGAAGUGUGCGAUCGCGAGGAGGGCAGGAGGGAACAGUCACUCCGGAUGGGAACGUCGCGGGUGGCGACGGCGUUGUAGAUACGCUGCAAGAAGAGACGGAGAGAUAAAAGAGCGAGAGAGAAUAAGAGAGUCCCCGGGGGUGAGCAGGGACUAAGAGGAGAGAAGAAGGAGAGGGAGGGGAGAAGAAGACGAAGAAGAAAAGGAAGAAGAGACGCAGUGCUGACAAACGAGAGGGAAAAUUGCGCGAGAACCUCGUGUGUUUUGUAUAUGUAAUCCCUUUAUAUAAGAUAAGAGCAUGGUAUGUCGACCGUGAAUAAAGACUACUGCGCGUUUUCGCAAAAAAGAAAAAAAACGAAGAAAGGGAAGCAAGAGGUACAUUUCUGUCGUCGGCGCGGUGGAUCGACGCGCGUCGAUCUGCCUCCAUCACCUUCAGGAACCACAUUGUCCCGUGCCGUCCGAUGAUCCUUGAUCCUCGCGAGUACACACCAAUCCUGACCAACACCGACCUUCCUGUUUCAUCGCAGAUGUCUCCUACGUCGCGCGUCCGAUGUCCUCGCCCGCAAUCGUCGGUAAGUGAAGCUUCAGUUUCCCACGAUAGAUAUUUCCGCGAGGAGCUUGCGAACGCGCAACGGUGAAUUCUCGAGCUUCGACCCGACGUCGAUUUCGUGUGCGCGCACGAGCACGACGUAGAGAGCGAUACCGAGAGAACUCAAGGGCUUUUUCAUUCUUUCAUUCAAAAGCAGGCACGUUUGCUUCGCUUUUGUUUUCGUUGCUU